AUCCAGCUGAUGAAUCCCAGGUAGGAUGAAACGCUUGUUCUGGAU
Schistosoma rodhaini is the source of this 45-nucleotide non-coding RNA. The record is from Rfam. Lineage: Eukaryota; Metazoa; Platyhelminthes; Trematoda; Strigeidida; Schistosomatidae.